Molecule: ribosomal RNA, 457 nt
Filed under: uncultured bacterium
Lineage: Bacteria
Description: partial 16S ribosomal RNA
Rfam family: Bacterial small subunit ribosomal RNA
Source: RNAcentral
GAUGAACGCUGGCGGCGUGCCUAACACAUGCCAGUCGAGCGAAUAUCUUCGGCGUAGAGGGGGGGACGGGGGAGUAACGGGGGGGGAAACAGCUCAGUACACACGGAUAAAAUACCGAAAGGCAUGAUAAAACGGGAUAACAUACUUGUAACGCACGGCAGAAGCAUGAAAGCUUUUGCGGUUGGGGAUCGACUCGGGUCUGAUCAGCUUGUUGCGGGGGUAGUGGCUUACCAAGGCGAUGACGGGUAGUCUACCUGAGGGGGGGAUCGGACACAUUGCAACUGAGCUACGGCCCAGACUCCUACGGGAGGCAGCAGUGGGGAAUAUUGCACAAUGGGCGGAAGCCUGAUGCAGCGACGCCGCGUGCGGGAUGACGGCAUUCGGGUUGUAAACCGCUUUCGCCUGUGACGGAGAGUUAGUGACGGUAAUUGGUGAAGAAGCACCGGCUAACUACGUG